RNAcentral lists this ribosomal RNA (492 nucleotides) under uncultured bacterium. RNAcentral describes it as "partial 16S ribosomal RNA". It matches the Rfam family "Bacterial small subunit ribosomal RNA", at positions 29 to 507 of the family's 1533-position model. The record is from RNAcentral.
AGUGAACGCUGGCGGUAUGCCUAACACAUGCAAGUCGAACGGCAGCACAGUAAGAGCUUGCUCUUACGGGUGGCGAGUGGCGGACGGGUGAGGAAUACAUCGGAAUCUACUUUUUCGUGGGGGAUAACGUAGGGAAACUUACGCUAAUACCGCAUACGACCUACGGGGGAAAGCAAGGGAUCUUCGGACCUUGCGCGAUUGAAUGAGCCGAUGUCGGAUUAGCUAGUUGGCGGGGUAAAGGCCCACCAAGGCGACGAUCCGUAGCUGGUCUGAGAGGAUGAUCAGCCACACUGGAACUGAGACACGGUCCAGACUCCUACGGGAGGCAGCAGUGGGGAAUAUUGGACAAUGGGCGCAAGCCUGAUCCAGCCAUACCGCGUGGGUGAAGAAGGCCUUCGGGUUGUAAAGCCCUUUUGUUGGGAAAGAAAAGCAGCAGGUUAAUACCCCGCUGUUCUGACGGUACCCAAAGAAUAAGCACCGGCUAACUUCGUG